GCAUUGGUGGUUAAGUGGUAGAAUUUAGGCCUUCCAUGCAGAAGACCCAGGUUCUAUUCCUGGCCAGUUCA
RNAcentral lists this transfer RNA (71 nucleotides) under Loxodonta africana (African savanna elephant). It matches the Rfam family "tRNA". From Rfam's summary of the family: Transfer RNA (tRNA) molecules are approximately 80 nucleotides in length. Their secondary structure includes four short double-helical elements and three loops (D, anti-codon, and T loops). Further hydrogen bonds mediate the characteristic L-shaped molecular structure. tRNAs have two regions of fundamental functional importance: the anti-codon, which is responsible for specific mRNA codon recognition, and the 3' end, to which the tRNAs corresponding amino acid is attached (by aminoacyl-tRNA synthetases). tRNAs cope with the degeneracy of the genetic code in two manners: having more than one tRNA (with a specific anti-codon) for a particular amino acid; and 'wobble' base-pairing, i.e. permitting non-standard base-pairing at the 3rd anti-codon position. Lineage: Eukaryota; Metazoa; Chordata; Mammalia; Proboscidea; Elephantidae. The record is from Rfam by way of RNAcentral.